RNAcentral lists this non-coding RNA (26 nucleotides) under Bombyx mori (domestic silkworm). Lineage: Eukaryota; Metazoa; Arthropoda; Insecta; Lepidoptera; Bombycidae. The record is from RNAcentral.
UAGUUAUGUUCUGGAUGCUGAUUGAU